AGAGUUUGAUCAUGGCUCAGGAUGAACGCUGGCGGCGUGCCUAACACAUGCAAGUCGUACGAGCUCGAUCUUCGGAACGGGUUAGUGGCGCACGGGUGAGUAACACGUAGGUGACCUACCCCAGAGUGGGGGAUAACUUCUCGAAAGAGAGGCUAAUACCGCAUACACUCGGUCAUUCAUUUGGCCGAGCAAAGCUCCGGCGCUUUGGGACGGGCCUGCGUCCGAUUAGCUAGUUGGUAGGGUAAUGGCUUACCAAGGCUUUGAUCGGUAGCUGGUCUGAGAGGACGAUCAGCCACACUGGCACUGACACACGGGCCAGACUCCCACGGGAGGCAGCAGUGAGGAAUAUUGGGCAAUGGGCGAAAGCCUGACCCAGCAACGCCGCGUGAGGGAUGAAGGCCUUCGGGUUGUAAACCUCUUUUCUGGGUGAAGAGACAAGGACGGUAUCCCAGGAAUAAGUCUCGGCUAACUACGUG
RNAcentral lists this ribosomal RNA (476 nucleotides) under uncultured bacterium. RNAcentral describes it as "bacterial SSU rRNA". It matches the Rfam family "Bacterial small subunit ribosomal RNA", at positions 8 to 507 of the family's 1533-position model. The record is from RNAcentral.